RNAcentral lists this ribosomal RNA (253 nucleotides) under uncultured bacterium. RNAcentral's name for it is "partial 16S ribosomal RNA". It matches the Rfam family "Bacterial small subunit ribosomal RNA", at positions 524 to 776 of the family's 1533-position model. The record is from RNAcentral.
UACGAAGGGGGCUAGCGUUGCUCGGAAUCACUGGGCGUAAAGCGCACGUAGGCGGCUUCUUAAGUCAGGGGUGAAAUCCUGGAGCUCAACUCCAGAACUGCCUUUGAUACUGGGAAUCUCGAGUCCGGAAGAGGUGAGUGGAACUGCGAGUGUAGAGGUGAAAUUCGUAGAUAUUCGCAAGAACACCAGUGGCGAAGGCGGCUCACUGGUCCGGUACUGACGCUGAGGUGCGAAAGCGUGGGGAGCAAACAGG